Non-coding RNA from Lolium perenne, 2392 nucleotides. The record is from RefSeq and is a predicted model, not a curated record. NCBI's taxonomy places the organism in Eukaryota, Viridiplantae, Streptophyta, Magnoliopsida, Poales, Poaceae.
AAGUCCCAACCCUUUCCCCGGCGAGUGCGCAGCCUUCUCCCUCUCCGACUCCGACGCAACCACGCCGCCGAUCCCCAAAUCCCCGCCGCACGCCGGCCUUCCCAGCCCCGCCGCUCGGCGACGCGCUCUCCCCGGCCAAUUCCCCACUUACACAUCCAUAUCACGCCCCCAAUCGCGCCACCACCCCCAAACCCUAGCCGCUCCCGACCGGCCGUCGUCGUUGCCCUCCACAACCCCGUCCUCCCGCGCCAUCUCCCGUCCACCGCCGUACGCGCUCGCCGGCCAUGGAGGCCCCCUGCCCUCGUCCAGAGAGAGAGAGGCAGUGGCGGUAGAAGCCCUCACCUCUCUCUUUCUCCUCAUCUCUCUCCCGGUGCGGCUCUCGCGUUCCUCCUCAAACCCUAGCCGCUGCCCGCUCGUCCUUCGCAGCCGCCGCCUCCUCUACCCCGAUUUAGAUCCCGACCUCCUGUGGCCGACGGCGACGAAGCAGAGGCGGGGGUUCGAACUGCGCAGGCGGCCGCAACAUCCGGCCGCCAGCACGUCCCCGACUGCGACGACGCAGAUGUGGUAAUACACGAGCGCCUCGUCGGCCCAUGGUAGGAGCAAGGGAUGGUCGCCGCAUUCCCUAGGGGAGGGAAUCUUCUCGUCUCCCCUUUGUGGCUUCCUCUCCCCGUCUACGUUCCCUACGCUCAGCUACCUGAUCUCCAGCGACGAAAACGAGCGCAGAUAGCGUCGCCUCUGCUCGGCUUGGUGCAGGUGGCCCGUGGCGCUCGCCGGAAGUCAGCAGAGGCAGCGCACACGAGCAUCUCAACCUCCGCUGGCGUGCCCCUGGCUGCUUGUUGAAGCUCCUAUGGACUGCAGGAAACCUCCAAGCGCCUUCUCUUCCUCCUAAUCUCAAUCAAGAUGGAAGAACAAAUGACACUAUUGCAAGAUGGUUACUCAAGCUGGUGGAGAGAAUGGGACCAUGCCUGCUGAUGCAAGUACAUAUAAGUACCUUGAGGAGAGUUCAUUUCCUGCAACAUGCAUAGAUGGGGGUGUACAGUCAGAUACCAGAAGAAGGAAGAACUGCAUCACAGUGGCAUGUCAUACCACUAGAGGUAGCUGGCCUGGAUGUAUCAUGCUUGAAGAAAGAAACAUAUAUUGCUAGCAGCCAGUCCACUUUUGAUAUUAUCUAUCCAGGGCCAGUGCGUGGUUCUUCAAAUCAAACAUGGCAAGUAUUACAAUCCUCCUAUGGUAUUCUCUAUACACCCACAUAAGAACAAUACAAGACGAAAUCCCACAGAUAAACAUGUUUGUAACUUAAUACUUCCUCCAAUCUAAUCUUUUCAGUGUGGUCCAAAAUGCAGGUCCUUCUAUACUCUAAAUGUGAAUUUGUCGUGUUAUUCCAGUUUAGCCCCUAAUUAGUUCCAUCGACAUUUAGACUUCUAACUCUAGCAUUUAUUGAGUUACUGUAGUACAGAGGUAAUAGAAAAAGUGUUUGAAAUACUAGGUGAAUGGUGAUAAUUGGAAUUUUACCAACAACCUUAAAAUCUUGCGGCUAACUCUAGAAGUUGUUGCAUUUUGGAAGGGAGGAAGUACGUUUUGUUCAUUUUUGCAAGUUAAAAUCCUGAAAUCCCAAUAAGGCUAACACUCAGUACAACCCCUGGUCAUGUUUUUAGAAAUUGCCUACCUCGUUUGGCUCCAUAGAAUUGAACUACUAGUAUUGUAGUAGUAUUGAUUUAUUUAGUCUCAGUAAUUGAUGUUUUUGUGCUAUAGGCCUAAACUUGCUGUCAUGUGGCUAUGAAUAUCCCUGGUUGGUAUUGUGUGGUCUUCAUCUUUGAUCGAUUUUAUAUGAGUGGCUGGGUGGGAAGCGUCCAUAUCCUGCAGGAGCUCUUCGGCAUCAGCACCAAAAGAUACCUUUGGUUUACACUGGAUGCUUGUAUGAUGAGAGUUUAAAACAUGAUGGCAUGAUUAUAUUUUGCAUGGAAGAUGGGAGAUCCUAGUGUCGAGGAGGAGGAGGUGACGGAAGAAACCCACGAUGUGUCCCAGGAGGCAAAAGGGUGUGGCCAUGGAAGCUUCUCCCUUUCAAGGUAAGUUAAACUCCAUUGCAGCAAGUAAGAAGAGAAACAGCGGAAGCCAAAAAGUUACUGCAUAGAGAAAGAGGAAGUUAAGCUCGUUGCUUUUUAUUUUACCAGAAUUGGAGCCUAUUCUGUAUUUGCAUUUCAUCUACACACUUACUGCAUAGAUACUGCACUUGGUACUGUCACAUGUGCAUCAUUUCAUCUGGAUACUGUCAUAUGUUACUCCAUUUGAUGCAAAUUGGAUACCGUCAUAUGUUACUCCAUUUGAACUGUAAUGAUGUAUACAGUACUCUGCUAUGAUGUGAUGCAUACAAAAAUGUUGGAGUGUAAUUGUA